GAAUUGUUCGCAGCGAGAGGGUGUUUGACCCUUGGACCGCCUUCGUUUGGCCUUGGAGGGCCUUCUGGAAGCUUAACGUGAGGAUUGAGACCUAGUGGAGCUGAUCCUUGAGACUUCUUGGACUGAUUUGGAGCCUAAUACUAGAGCCUGUUACAGGAG
Molecule: long non-coding RNA, 159 nt
Organism: Ananas comosus (pineapple)
Lineage: Eukaryota; Viridiplantae; Streptophyta; Magnoliopsida; Poales; Bromeliaceae
Exons: 3
Source: RefSeq, a predicted model, not a curated record